UGUGGGAUAGAGCAGUGGUAGCUCGAAAGCCUCAUAAGCUUUAGGUCGUGGGUUCGACUCCCACUCCCGCAACCA
RNAcentral lists this transfer RNA (75 nucleotides) under Bacteroides sp. RNAcentral's name for it is "tRNA-Met". It matches the Rfam family "tRNA". From Rfam's summary of the family: Transfer RNA (tRNA) molecules are approximately 80 nucleotides in length. Their secondary structure includes four short double-helical elements and three loops (D, anti-codon, and T loops). Further hydrogen bonds mediate the characteristic L-shaped molecular structure. tRNAs have two regions of fundamental functional importance: the anti-codon, which is responsible for specific mRNA codon recognition, and the 3' end, to which the tRNAs corresponding amino acid is attached (by aminoacyl-tRNA synthetases). tRNAs cope with the degeneracy of the genetic code in two manners: having more than one tRNA (with a specific anti-codon) for a particular amino acid; and 'wobble' base-pairing, i.e. permitting non-standard base-pairing at the 3rd anti-codon position. The record is from RNAcentral. Lineage: Bacteria; Pseudomonadati; Bacteroidota; Bacteroidia; Bacteroidales; Bacteroidaceae.